This 296-nucleotide ribosomal RNA is filed under the name Bruchidius flavovirens. Its description in RNAcentral is "partial 12S ribosomal RNA". The record is from RNAcentral. Lineage: Eukaryota; Metazoa; Arthropoda; Insecta; Coleoptera; Chrysomelidae.
UUAUCCNNUAAAUAAAUUUAAUGUAACCCACCUCUUCUUAAAUAUAAGCUACACCUUGAUCUGAUUUAUUUUUUAAUAAAAAAUUAUGAAUAUUUAAAUUCUAUUAAAAUAUUCAACCUACGACGAUAUGUAAACUUAAAACUAAAGUAUUAAUAAUCGGGGAUUAUCAAUUAUAGGGCAGGUUCCUCUGAAAAGACUAAAAUACCGCCAAAUUUUUUAAUUUUUAAGAAAAUAACUAAUACUAAUUUAGUAUAAAAAUUUACAUUUACAAUAAUAGGGUAUCUAAUCCUAGUUUA